This 863-nucleotide ribosomal RNA is filed under the name Neisseria sp. RNAcentral's name for it is "bacterial SSU rRNA". It matches the Rfam family "Bacterial small subunit ribosomal RNA", at positions 30 to 886 of the family's 1533-position model. Lineage: Bacteria; Pseudomonadati; Pseudomonadota; Betaproteobacteria; Neisseriales; Neisseriaceae. The record is from RNAcentral.
UGAACGCUGGCGGCAUGCUUUACACAUGCAAGUCGAACGGCAGCACGGGUGCUUGCACCUGGUGGCGAGUGGCGAACGGGUGAGUAACGCAUCGGAACGUACCGAGUAGUGGGGGAUAACUGUCCGAAAGGAUGGCUAAUACCGCAUACGCUUUGAGAAGGAAAGCGGGGGAUCUUCGGACCUCGCGCUAUUCGAGCGGCCGAUGUCUGAUUAGCUAGUUGGUGGGGUAAAGGCCUACCAAGGCGACGAUCAGUAGCGGGUCUGAGAGGAUGAUCCGCCACACUGGGACUGAGACACGGCCCAGACUCCUACGGGAGGCAGCAGUGGGGAAUUUUGGACAAUGGGGGCAACCCUGAUCCAGCCAUGCCGCGUGUCUGAAGAAGGCCUUCGGGUUGUAAAGGACUUUUGUCAGGGAAGAAAAGCUUCGGGUUAAUACCCCGGGGUGAUGACGGUACCUGAAGAAUAAGCACCGGCUAACUACGUGCCAGCAGCCGCGGUAAUACGUAGGGUGCGAGCGUUAAUCGGAAUUACUGGGCGUAAAGCGAGCGCAGACGGUUACUUAAGCAGGAUGUGAAAUCCCCGGGCUUAACCUGGGAACUGCGUUCUGAACUGGGUGACUAGAGUAUGUCAGAGGGGGGUAGAAUUCCACGUGUAGCAGUGAAAUGCGUAGAGAUGUGGAGGAAUACCGAUGGCGAAGGCAGCCCCCUGGGAUAAUACUGACGUUCAUGCUCGAAAGCGUGGGUAGCAAACAGGAUUAGAUACCCUGGUAGUCCACGCCCUAAACGAUGUCAAUUAGCUGUUGGGGUGCUUGACACCUUAGUAGCGUAGCUAACGCGUGAAAUUGACCGCCUGGGGAGUACGGU